Molecule: ribosomal RNA, 543 nt
Filed under: uncultured bacterium
Lineage: Bacteria
Description: partial 16S ribosomal RNA
Rfam family: Bacterial small subunit ribosomal RNA
Source: RNAcentral
UAAGGAAUAUUGGUCAAUGGACGCAAGUCUGAACCAGCCAUGCCGCGUGAAGGAUUAAGGUCCUCUGGAUUGUAAACUUCUUUUAUCUGGGACGAAAAACGGCGAUUCUUCGUCACUUGACGGUACCAGAUGAAUAAGCACCGGCUAACUCCGUGCCAGCAGCCGCGGUAAUACGGAGGGUGCAAGCGUUAUCCGGAUUCACUGGGUUUAAAGGGUCGUAGGCGGGCAGGUAAGUCAGUGGUGAAAUCCUAGAGCUUAACUCUAGAACUGCCAUUGAUACUAUCUGUCUUGAAUAUUGUGGAGGUAAGCGGAAUAUGUCAUGUAGCGGUGAAAUGCUUAGAUAUGACAUAGAACACCUAUUGCGAAGGCAGCUUACUACGCAUAUAUUGACGCUGAGGCACGAAAGCGUGGGGAUCAAACAGGAUUAGAUACCCUGGUAGUCCACGCCCUAAACGAUGAUUACUCGACAUUUGUGAUACACUAUAAGUGUCUGAGCGAAAGCAUUAAGUAAUCCACCUGGGAAGUACGACCGCAAGGUUGAAA